Molecule: ribosomal RNA, 425 nt
Filed under: uncultured prokaryote
Description: bacterial SSU rRNA
Rfam family: Bacterial small subunit ribosomal RNA
Source: RNAcentral
CAGGGAAUCUUGCGCAAUGGGCGAAAGCCUGACGCAGCGACACCGCGUGGGGGAUGAAGGCCUUCGGGUUGUAAACCCCUUUCAGGAGGGAAGAAAUUGACGGUACCUCCACAAGAAGGACCGGCCAACUACGUGCCAGCAGCCGCGGUAAUACGUAGGGUCCGAGCGUUAUCCGGAAUCAUUGGGCGUAAAGAGCUCGUAGGCGGUUCAGCAAGUCGGCUGUGAAAGUUCGAGGCUCAACCUCGAAAUUGCAGUCGAUACUGCUGUGACUCGAGUCCGGUAGAGGAGAAUGGAAUUCCCGGUGUAGCGGUGAAAUGCGCAGAUAUCGGGAGGAACACCAGUAGCGAAGGCGGUUCUCUGGGCCGGCACUGACGCUGAGGAGCGAAAGCGUGGGGAGCAAACAGGAUUAGAUACCCCCGUAGUCC